Molecule: ribosomal RNA, 253 nt
Filed under: uncultured bacterium
Lineage: Bacteria
Description: partial 16S ribosomal RNA
Rfam family: Bacterial small subunit ribosomal RNA
Source: RNAcentral
UACAGAGGGGGCAAGCGUUGUUCGGAAUUACUGGGCGUAAAGCGUGCGCAGGCGGUUGUGUAAGACAGAUGUGAAAUCCCCGGGCUCAACCUGGGAACUGCAUUUGUGACUGCACAGCUGGAGUGCGGCAGAGGGGGAUGGAAUUCCGCGUGUAGCAGUGAAAUGCGUAGAUAUGCGGAGGAACACCGAUGGCGAAGGCAAUCCCCUGGGCCUGCACUGACGCUCAUGCACGAAAGCGUGGGGAGCAAACAGG